UACAGGGGGGGCAAGCGUUGUUCGGAAUUACUGGGCGUAAAGGGUCUGUAGGUGGCUUGCUAAGUCAGACGUGAAAUCCCUCAGCUUAACUGGGGAACUGCGUCUGAUACUGGCAAGCUUGAGUGCAGGAGAGGAACGCGGAAUUCCAGGUGUAGCGGUGAAAUGCGUAGAUAUCUGGAGGAACACCGGUGGCGAAGGCGGCAUCCUGGACCGGCAUUGACGCUGAGGCGCGAAAGCUAGGGGAGCAAACGGG
RNAcentral lists this ribosomal RNA (253 nucleotides) under uncultured bacterium. Its description in RNAcentral is "partial 16S ribosomal RNA". It matches the Rfam family "Bacterial small subunit ribosomal RNA", at positions 524 to 776 of the family's 1533-position model. The record is from RNAcentral.